GACAGAGGGUGCAAACGUUGUUCGGAAUUACUGGGCGUAAAGCGCGUGUAGGCUGCUCAGAAAGUCGGAUGUGAAAGCCCUGGGCUCAACCUAGGAAGUGCAUUCGAACUUCUGAGCUGGAGUUCUGGAGAGGAAGGCGGAAUUCUCGGUGUAGAGGUGAAAUUCGUAGAUAUCGAGAGGAACACCGGUGGCGAAGGCGGCCUUCUGGACAGUGACUGACGCUGAGACGCGAAAGCGUGGGGAGCAAACAGG
This 252-nucleotide ribosomal RNA is filed under the name uncultured bacterium. RNAcentral describes it as "partial 16S ribosomal RNA". It matches the Rfam family "Bacterial small subunit ribosomal RNA", at positions 524 to 776 of the family's 1533-position model. The record is from RNAcentral.